GCCUGCUAAGCGGCCGGGCUCUGCCGCCCGCCCGGCGAGCCCGCGCCACUUCCUGUGCGUCACUUCCGGCCCCCAGCAGUGUCCCCGCGCCCGGGCCGGGCCGGGCUCGGCCGCCGCCGCGGGCCUCCCAGAGCGCGGUGCGGCGUCCCCUGCGGCCUGGCGUCCCUGCCGGGCUCGGCGGCCUCUGCCCAGGCCUCGGUCCCCUCUGUGGCCCCGGUGACCACCGCCCGGCCUGGUCCCCUGCCCCGCCCGGUGUCCGCGGACCCCGGCGUCCCCUGUCCCGCCUGGCCCUCCGACCCGAGAGCACUCAGGCUCCGGUCCUUGAACACACCACGCUGCUGCAAAAGAAGAGAACAAAAAGCCAGACGCUGCUGUGGAGAUCUCCCCAGCCAUUUAACCCGGGGCCCCCUGGGAGCUACACCUGCCUGUUUCAGUUUUUGAGAUCUGCUGCUCCAGCAGCUGAGGUUAUAGCCAGAGUUCCCAACAAACCGGAGUUCAAUAAACUUUGUAAACAUUUUCUAAACAGAAUGAGAGUAUUAAACAGCAUUAAUGCUAAAAGGGAAUACUGAAAGGACAGAUAGAGCCAGGCAUGGUGGCAUAGGCCUGUAGUCCCGGCACUCCAGGAUGGUGAGGCUGGAGGGUCACAAGUUCCAGCCCAGCCCAGGAAAUUUAGCAAGCUAGCAAUACCCUGUCUCGGAAGUUUUUAAAAGGCUGGGGAUUUAGCUCAGUGGUGCUACCGCCUGCCUCGCAAGCGCAAGGUCCUGAGUUCAAUCCCCGGUACCAAAAAACAAAAAGCAGGCGGUACCUGUCUAUAACCGCAGCACCUGGAGGCUGAGCUGUGUGUUCAAAGCCAGCUGGAGCUACAUAGCCUGUACUGCAUAGUGGGACCUUGUCUCAAAACAAAAACAAAAAGCUGGGGAUAUACCCAGGGUGCAGGCUCUGCUUCAGCCCCGGGGUGGGUGUGGGGUGGAGAUUGUCACACCUAAGAUCUGAAUCAACGAAGACUUCACACCCAGGAGUCUGGAACCAUCUUUAGUUCUUCCAGAACAAAAUUCCUACCCUGGGUCCCAGGAGCCUGGAUUCAGGGAAACUAUUCCUUGGAUGGUCUGAACAGGACACCUUUGCCUGGGGUCCCUGGCUGCGUCCUCUCCCCAGGCGGGUCAGUCGCAGGCAGUGCUGGUGUCCCCCACAUCUCUGCCCAGGGUCAGAAGGGUCAGGGCAGCCGCUGUGCAUGGCUGGUGGGAGCCUGGUUUUUGUCUGUGCUGGACACUUGGCGUCGUCCUGGAGAGCCGCACAGUCAGACCUUCGCACUGGUCCCCAGGGUAGGCAGCCAGUUCUCCACCCCAACUCCAACUGUGACCUGCUUCCGCUUCUGCUUCCGUUUCCUGGGCCUCAGAAAGGUUGGCACUGUUUUUUGCUUUUUUACCCCCCAUUCUGGGGACUGAACCCAGGACCUUGCAAAUGUUAGGCAUUCUUUACCACUGAGCCACACCCCCACCCUGUUGUUUUUUAUUUUUCAUUCUGAGACAGUGUCUUGGUAAGUUACCCAGUGUGGCCUUGAACUUUCGAUCUUCCUGCCUCAGCCUCCCUGUGGUAGGGAUUACAGAUGUGUGUGCACCACUGUCCCUGGCUGCUGCCAGCUUGUUGCUGCCAGAUCACUUCUGACCGACUGGGUCUUGCAGGACAAGAACUGGUUCCUCUGGAAGGAGCAAGUGUCUUCUGGGCCUAGGAGAAACAGCCAGCAGGGCCCUGGGCAGGACCUGGUGAGGUGCUGGCCGGCCAGGUCCUGUGCUCCGCCUGCUCACCUAUCGCUUUCUCUGAGGGGAUGCAAGGCUGCCUUCUACUCCCUGGCCUCCCUGUGGGCAUGGCCCUGUGUCAGUAGCUCGGGGCUUGCUGGGUGCGAUUCAUUUUUGCCAGCCUGCAGUAUUCCGCCGUUUGCUUUAACCUGGGCCAUGCAGGAAAGGGUGGGAAAUCUCUGGGGUCUGAUCCUUCAUUUUGGCCCAAAGUCUUAAAGCCUCUACAAUGACCUCUGACCCCAUGAGACUCCCCCUUGAGGGUGGAUUCCAACCAGGGCCUCGCUUAUACUCAGAGUAAAGGACAGAGCUGGGGGUGGUGGUGCAUGCUUAUAAUCCCAGCUACAUGGGAGGCUGAGGCAGGAGGAUCACAAGUUCAAAGCCAGCCUGGGCAGUUUAGCAAGACCCUGUCUCAAACUCAAAAAAAAAAAAAAUUUUUAAGGGCUGGUGAUGUAGCUCAGGAGCAAAGUGCCCCAGUACUGCCGGAAAAAGAAACCAAACCAGAGCACCACCCAGUUCCCUAGUGCUGCUGGAUGAAUGUUAUUGAUUGGAAUUUGCCUAUGGAUGUGAAGUCAGGAUCCAACUUCUUUUCUUUUGGAAGUUAUUUAUUACUGUUUUUGUUUUUGUAUUUUUUGAGACAGGGUCUGGCUAUGUAGUCCAGGCUGGCCUUUAACUCACUUUGGAACCCAAGGGUGGCCUUCAACUUGCAGCAGUCCUCCUAUCCCAGCCUCGGAGUGCUGGGACUACAGGAGCAUGCCACCACGCCCAGCUUGUUCCUGCUAUUUUGAGGCAGGAUCUUGUGCAUUGUGUUGACCAGGCUAGCCUUGAACUCCUAGUUGUGGGCAAUCCUUCUGUCUCAGCCUUCUGACUUCUGAGACUACAGAUUGUGUAGGACCUUUUCUUGCUGGCGUGGUCCAUCAUCCUGGUAUCAGACUGACUCUUCAGGCACUCUGGGAGGCUGAGGCAGAAGGACUGCAAGUUGUAACCCAGCCUGUGCAAUUUAGUGACUUAGCAAGAUCCUGUCUCAAAAUAAAACAUUUUUACAAAGGAAUGCGGGG
RNAcentral lists this long non-coding RNA (2851 nucleotides) under Heterocephalus glaber (naked mole-rat). Its description in RNAcentral is "lncRNA (ENSHGLG00100044419.1)". Lineage: Eukaryota; Metazoa; Chordata; Mammalia; Rodentia; Bathyergidae. The record is from RNAcentral.